AAGAUUGAAGACGAGGAGCUGGUCUCCUACAUACUGACCGGAUUGGAUCUGGAUUAUGAUCCAGUGGUCCUCGGCGGUGGUGGCACGCGUCGAGC
Molecule: small nucleolar RNA, 95 nt
Filed under: Sorghum bicolor (sorghum)
Lineage: Eukaryota; Viridiplantae; Streptophyta; Magnoliopsida; Poales; Poaceae
Description: Small nucleolar RNA Z247
Rfam family: Small nucleolar RNA Z247
About the family: Z247 is a member of the C/D class of snoRNA which contain the C (UGAUGA) and D (CUGA) box motifs. Most of the members of the box C/D family function in directing site-specific 2'-O-methylation of substrate RNAs.
Source: Rfam by way of RNAcentral